Molecule: ribosomal RNA, 334 nt
Filed under: uncultured Bacillota bacterium
Lineage: Bacteria; Bacillati; Bacillota
Description: bacterial SSU rRNA
Rfam family: Bacterial small subunit ribosomal RNA
Source: RNAcentral
GAUGAACGCUGGCGGCGUGCCUAACACAUGCAAGUCGAGCGGAGAUUCAUGGAGUACUUGUACAAAGUGGAUCUUAGCGGCGGACGGGUGAGUAACACGUGAGCAAUCUGCCUUUCACUGGGGAAUAACACUGGGAAACCAGUGCUAAUACCGCAUAACGUCCUUGGGUGGCAUCACCUGGGGACCAAAGGAGAAAUUCGGUGAAAGAUGAGCUCGCGUCCGAUUAGGUAGUUGGUGAGGUAACGGCCCACCAAGCCUACGAUCGGUAGCCGGACUGAGAGGUUGAACGGCCACAUUGGGACUGAGACACGGCCCAGACUCCUACGGGAGGCAG